Long non-coding RNA from Coccinella septempunctata (seven-spotted ladybird), 697 nucleotides. RefSeq lists it as uncharacterized. The record is from RefSeq and is a predicted model, not a curated record. NCBI's taxonomy places the organism in Eukaryota, Metazoa, Arthropoda, Insecta, Coleoptera, Coccinellidae. The transcript has 3 exons.
UGACGGUCAAGCCGAAACUCGUUGACAGCUGACAGGUGUGAUUCAUCCAUAAAUUACUUUGGGAGGAGCAGGAGAUACUGUUGGACAUUCUGUUCUUAAAUUUUGAGUUCCCCUCCCUAAUUUUCCAGGUACAGAAUCUACUGAUAAAUUUCGAGUUGCUGUGCAUUUUAGGCAGUUAGUGCUGUGCAUCAGAAGAGUAGAUUGCGAAAAAAGGUGUAACACCUCUAAAACCCGCCAAAGAAAAGAAAAAGCCAAAAGUGAAAGAGAUUGAGAAAGAAGAGUUGGUGAAAAUAAAUCCUGUUGAUCUGAUGAUGGCCCUUCAUUUACUUAGCAUUGUGGUAUAUGUGCCCGAAGAAUGAGUUUCCAUCCGAUUGAGAAAGAUGUGCUUAUGUUUCGUCAAGAUUCAUCUUGAGGAAACCAGAGGAAAACCGGAAUCAUUAACUUACAGCUGGUUUCACAAAACUGCGAUUUCCAAAAUGAAGUUUCUGAAACUUUUACAAUCCUGAAUAUAUUGAAGAGGUAGCUACUGAUAAUCAUUCGAUGGAGUAUAAUUGGAUGCAAAAAUGACAUUCGAAAUGCUCAUGACUGAAUUAUCGAUUGUAAACAAAUCUAUAUUGGUCUGUAAAUCAAGCGUUGAUCCUAUAUGUCAAGCUUUUUGAAACCAGGUGUUGGAAUCGAAAGAUCAAGUACAAGGAAC